AAAAAACACAUUUAUAUGCAUAUGACAGAUAGGCGCAUAUUUAAUUAUCGAUGAGUCAUAAAUUAUUUUAUUAUUGAAAAAAAUAAAAACACCAACUUUGAGACCCUGUUGCUAUUAAAUAUCAAUUAAUAGAAGCAGAAAAGCAAAACUGAGGAGUUCUUGCCUCUUACUUCUUCUUGAGUGAGUAGAGAGAGAAAAGUACCAUAUCUUGUUUGAUGGAAGAACAGAGUCCAAACUCUACAUCAGAGUUUAUGAUGGCAAAGCUGCAGGAACUUAGAGCAGAUUUAGAGAACGACAUGAUGCAAGUUCCGUUGGAAGAAGAAAUGGUACAAAAGUUCAUGCAAGACCUCUAUAAGGAGAUCAAUACAAAAACUACAAUUGCAUGCUCCGCUAACCCCACGCCACCAUUGCUGCCACAGAAUGACAUUUUCAUCCCCCUUCUUCAGAACGAGGAUCAAGAAAUGAACAUAGAGCACUUUGGAGCUGAUUUUGAUGACGAGUGGCUGGCAAAAGUUCUUGUUUGGUACCAGAUUGUGGAGAAUAGUGAGUGGUUUUGAGUUCAACUCCAUCAUGAUAUAAUUAUGAUAGAUGUAUCAGAUGCUUUCUAAGACAGUGUUCGUUUUUAUUUAUAUGUAUACUUGCAUGUAUGCCGGUGGUAAUUAAUAUUAAUAAUUAAGUAGCUUGUCAAGUGUGAACUAUUAGCAGUAAAUUAAAAGUAUACUUGAUAUGUAAAUUAUUUGGAUAUUUGCCAUAUAUAUGUUGUAUAAUUAAGUAGUGCUCGUUUGUUGUUUCACCUUUGAUUUGAUUUUGUUUAAUUUGCAUUAUGUUCCUUUUCUUUCUUUUAGCUUUGCCUCUUCUGUCCUACUAUUUUCUCCUUUACUUUUAAUCAACCAUCAAAACUUAGAAGCAAAUACAACAGAGUGUAUUACAAGAUAUUUGCCAUAAAU
This 947-nucleotide long non-coding RNA is filed under the name Arachis ipaensis. RNAcentral describes it as "long non-coding RNA (AIPA_LNC001838)". Lineage: Eukaryota; Viridiplantae; Streptophyta; Magnoliopsida; Fabales; Fabaceae. The record is from RNAcentral.